AUUAAGAUUUAAGAUUUGAUUAGAAUUGAUUUAGGAUAACAUUAGGGUUUGACCAUGAUUGAUUUAGGAUUUGAUUAGCAUUUGGUCAAAAUUUGAUAAAGAUUGGUUUAAGAUUUAUUUAUUAGGAUUUAUGUAAGAUUUGAUUAAGAUUUGAUUAUGAUUGAUUUAAGAUUUGAUUAUGGUUUGUUUAGAAUUUGGUUUGAAUCGAUUCAUGAUUUUAUUAAGGUUUAUUAAAGAUUUAGUUAUGAUUUAUUUAAAAUUUCUAUUUUUAAUAUUU
Molecule: long non-coding RNA, 277 nt
Filed under: Physcomitrium patens
Lineage: Eukaryota; Viridiplantae; Streptophyta; Bryopsida; Funariales; Funariaceae
Description: long non-coding RNA (PPAT_LNC006009)
Source: RNAcentral